CCUACGGAGGGCAGCAGUGAGGAAUAUUGGUCAAUGGACGCAAGUCUGAACCAGCCAAGUAGCGUGCAGGAUGACGGCCCUCCGGGUUGUAAACUGCUUUUAGUUGGGAAUAAAAGGGGGCUCGUGAGCCCCGUAUUGUAUGUACCAUCAGAAAAAGGACCGGCUAAUUCCGUGCCAGCAGCCGCGGUAAUACGGAAGGUCCGGGCGUUAUCCGGAUUUAUUGGGUUUAAAGGGAGCGUAGGCCGGCUUUUAAGUCAGCUGUGAAAGUCCGCGGCUCAACCGUGGAAUUGCAGUUGAAACUGGAGGCCGUGAGUGCACACAGGGAUGCCGGAAUUCAUGGUGUAGCGGUGAAAUGCUUAGAUAUCAUGAAGAACUCCGAUCGCGAAGGCAAGUGUCCGGGGUGCAACUGACGCUGAGGCUCGAAAGUGCGGGUAUCAAACAGGAUUAGAUACCCUUGUAGUC
RNAcentral lists this ribosomal RNA (462 nucleotides) under uncultured bacterium. RNAcentral's name for it is "partial 16S ribosomal RNA". It matches the Rfam family "Bacterial small subunit ribosomal RNA", at positions 338 to 795 of the family's 1533-position model. The record is from RNAcentral.